GUAGGAUGAUAAAUUUGGAGAGAUGAGGUUAGCUUGUGGGCUGCCAUCUUUCUCUUUUCUUUCUGUCAUGAAUCCAGCAAUGGCCCCGAGAGGGGUUGUUCUGUUAGCCCUGUGUGAAGGUCAUUUGGAGGACGGACAAGCUGACC
Non-coding RNA from Callorhinus ursinus (northern fur seal), 146 nucleotides. The record is from RefSeq and is a predicted model, not a curated record. Lineage: Eukaryota; Metazoa; Chordata; Mammalia; Carnivora; Otariidae.